RNAcentral lists this non-coding RNA (89 nucleotides) under Candidatus Centipeda massiliensis. The record is from RNAcentral. Lineage: Bacteria; Bacillati; Bacillota; Negativicutes; Selenomonadales; Selenomonadaceae.
UUCCACUGGGGGAGCGUUAUUGCUGAGAGAUCUCCGGAUCGACCCUUGGAACCUGUUGGGUAAUGCCUGCGUAGGGAAGUGGCUUUGUU